GAUGAAUGCUCGCUACAGGCUUAACACAUGCAAGUCGAGGGGCAGCAUGGUCUUAGCUUGCUAAGGCCGAUGGCGACCGGCGCACGGGUGAGUAACACGUAUCCAACCUGCCGUCUACUCUUGGACAGCCUUCUGAAAGGAAGAUUAAUACAAGAUGGCAUCAUGAGUCCGCAUGUUCACAUGAUUAAAGGUAUUCCGGUAGACGAUGGGGAUGCGUUCCAUUAGAUAGUAGGCGGGGUAACGGCCCACCUAGUCUUCGAUGGAUAGGGGUUCUGAGAGGAAGGUCCCCCACAUUGGAACUGAGACACGGUCCAAACUCCUACGGGAGGCAGCAGUGAGGAAUAUUGGUCAAUGGGCGCAGGCCUGAACCAGCCAAGUAGCGUGAAGGAUGACUGCCCUAUGGGUUGUAAACUUCUUUUAUAAAGGAAUAAAGUCGGGUAUGUAUACCCGUUUGCAUGUACUUUAUGAAUAAGGAUCGGCUAACUCCGUG
Molecule: ribosomal RNA, 490 nt
Filed under: uncultured bacterium
Lineage: Bacteria
Description: partial 16S ribosomal RNA
Rfam family: Bacterial small subunit ribosomal RNA
Source: RNAcentral